AGCGAACGCUGGCGGCAGGCUUAACACAUGCAAGUCGAACGGGCGUAGCAAUACGUCAGUGGCAGACGGGUGAGUAACGCGUGGGAACGUACCUUUUGGUUCGGAACAACCCAGGGAAACUUGGGCUAAUACCGGAUAAGCCCUUACGGGGAAAGGAUUUAUCGCCGAAGAUCGGCCCGCGUCUGAUUAGCUAGUUGGUGAGGUAACGGCUCACCAAGGCGACGAUCAGUAGCUGGUCUGAGAGGAUGACCAGCCUCAUUGGGACUGAGACACGGCCCAAACUCCUACGGGAGGCAGCAGUGGGGAAGUAUUGGACAAUGGGCGGCAAGCCUGAUCCAGCCAUGCCGCGUGAGUGAUGAAGG
This 362-nucleotide ribosomal RNA is filed under the name uncultured bacterium. RNAcentral describes it as "bacterial SSU rRNA". It matches the Rfam family "Bacterial small subunit ribosomal RNA", at positions 29 to 414 of the family's 1533-position model. The record is from RNAcentral.